RNAcentral lists this ribosomal RNA (353 nucleotides) under Tisamenus sp. 2 SB-2020. RNAcentral describes it as "partial 12S ribosomal RNA". The record is from RNAcentral. Lineage: Eukaryota; Metazoa; Arthropoda; Insecta; Phasmatodea; Heteropterygidae.
UAGUUAUGUUCUUUAAACCUAAAGAAUUUGGCGGUGUUUUAAUUCUGUUCAGAGGAACUUGCCCCGUUAUCGAUAGUCCUCGUUCUAUCUUUCUUGAUCUUGUUUUAAUUAACAUUCAGCAUGUAUACCGCCGUUAUAAGCUUAUUUUUUGAGAAUUUAAUUUGCUAAUUUUUUUAUUAAAACUUAUUUCAGGUCAAGGUGCAGCCUAUGUUUAAGUGGAGGUGAGUUACAAUAUUUUUGAAUAAAUGGAUUUUUUAGUUAAAUUUUUUUAUGAAGGUGGAUUUGAUGGUAAUUUUAUUUAUAGUGUUAUUUUGACCUUGGCUCUAAAACAAGUACACAUCGCCCGUCGCUCU